GCCCAGGUAGCUCAGUCGGUAGAGCAGUGGAUUGAAAAUCCUCGUGUCGGUGGUUCGAUUCCGCCCCUGGGCACCA
RNAcentral lists this transfer RNA (76 nucleotides) under Lysobacteraceae bacterium. RNAcentral describes it as "Xanthomonadaceae bacterium tRNA-Phe". It matches the Rfam family "tRNA". Rfam says of the family: Transfer RNA (tRNA) molecules are approximately 80 nucleotides in length. The record is from RNAcentral. Lineage: Bacteria; Pseudomonadati; Pseudomonadota; Gammaproteobacteria; Lysobacterales; Lysobacteraceae. RNAcentral also lists the same sequence under 4 other names.